Felis catus (domestic cat) is the source of this 85-nucleotide non-coding RNA. The record is from Rfam. NCBI's taxonomy places the organism in Eukaryota, Metazoa, Chordata, Mammalia, Carnivora, Felidae.
GCCUGGGUGGCUCAGCUGGUUAAGCGUCUGACUUCAGCUCAGGUCAUGAUCUUAUGGUCCGUGAGUUCGAGCCCCGCGUCGGGCU